Astyanax mexicanus (Mexican tetra) is the source of this 514-nucleotide long non-coding RNA. RefSeq lists it as uncharacterized. Lineage: Eukaryota; Metazoa; Chordata; Actinopteri; Characiformes; Acestrorhamphidae. The transcript is spliced from 3 exons. The record is from RefSeq and is a predicted model, not a curated record.
GAGACUAGAACUUUACAAUUGAUUACAACUUUACUGGAGAAUACAACUUUACAAUUAGAACUUUACUAGAGACUAGAACUUUACAAUUAGAACUUUACUAGAGAAUAGAAAUUUACAAUUAGAACUUUACUAGAGACUAGAACUUUACAAUUAGAACUUUACUAGAGACUAGAACUUUACAAUUAGAACUUUACUAGAGACUAGAACUUUACAAGUAGAACUUUACUAGAGACUAGAACUUUACAAUUAGAACUUUACUAGAGACUAGAACUUUACAAUGGAUUAGAACUUUACUGGAGGCUAGAACUUUACAAUUAGAACUUUACUAGAGACUAGAACUUUACAAUGGAUUAGAACUUUACUGGAGGCUAGAACUUUAAGGUUUAAUAGGGCAUUACUGUUUAUUAGAACUGUACUGGAGACUAGACCUUUACAGUGUAUUAGAGCAUCACUGUACAUUUGAGUUGUAAUGGAAUCUAGAACUUUCCUCCACCCCUGAAGUAAAGUUUAAUAU